Molecule: small nucleolar RNA, 141 nt
Filed under: Salvator merianae (Argentine black and white tegu)
Lineage: Eukaryota; Metazoa; Chordata; Lepidosauria; Squamata; Teiidae
Description: Small nucleolar RNA SNORA57 (ENSSMRG00000012990.1)
Rfam family: Small nucleolar RNA SNORA57
About the family: U99 belongs to the H/ACA class of snoRNAs which are thought to guide the sites of modification of uridines to pseudouridines, the target for this family is unknown.
Source: Rfam by way of RNAcentral
CCUCCUUUACUUGGAAGGAUCAGGUUUUGUAGUACCUGGUUCUGUAAUGUCCGGUGGUGAAGAAAUUAUUUUCCAGUGUUCUGUCUUCAGUGCCAGCGGCUUUACCAUCCACUGGUUCUGUCCUCAAGCACUGGAAAAAAU